RNAcentral lists this ribosomal RNA (506 nucleotides) under uncultured bacterium. RNAcentral's name for it is "partial 16S ribosomal RNA". It matches the Rfam family "Bacterial small subunit ribosomal RNA", at positions 28 to 523 of the family's 1533-position model. The record is from RNAcentral.
GAUGAACGCUAGCUACAGGCUUAACACAUGCAAGUCGAGGGGUAACGAGAGGAAAGCUUGCUUUCCUUGUCGACGACCGGCGCACGGGUGAGUAACGCGUAUCCAACCUGCCCCCAACUAAGGAAUAACCUUGCGAAAGUAAGACUAAUACCUUAUAAUUUCCUCAGAUGUCAUCUGACGAGGAAUAAAGAUUUAUCGGUUGUGGAUGGGGAUGCGUGUGAUUAGCUUGCUGGCGGGGUAACGGCCCACCAAGGCAACGAUCAGUAGGGGUUCUGAGAGGAAGGUCCCCCACAUUGGAACUGAGACACGGUCCAAACUCCUACGGGAGGCAGCAGUGAGGAAUAUUGGUCAAUGGGCGAAAGCCUGAACCAGCCAAGUAGCGUGCAGGAUGACGGCCCUAUGGGUUGUAAACUGCUUUUAUACAGGAAUAAAGUUAGCCACGUGUGGUUAUUUGUAGGUACUGUAUGAAUAAGGACCGGCUAAUUCCGUGCCAGCCGCCGCGGUAA